CUGGAAGAAAAGAGAUGGCUGGUUCUAAGUGGAUGUUUUGGCCAGAAAAUCAGAAGGGCUAUGUCUAUAAGGUUCAUUAACUCUUGCCCUCUCUUGCCAAUAACCCAUGUUCAGGAGGCCACCAAUCUGACACCCUCAAAAGAACUUCCCGAAGGAGGCAAAGUCUAGAAGGAGAAUACCUGCUCUGAAGUUUCCCACUUUCCCUGAACUGAAUCUGCAGAGCCUCCCCAGGAGGGAAGAAUGCAGCUUUGAAAAAUAACACCUUUGUUAUUCCAAGUGUUAGAGAUGAAGCCGAGUUUUCAGAUGGCCUCAAGGCCUUAUCCUGAAGACUGUGCAAACUUGACCUAGAGAUGGGCAGCCAGCAGCUACUGUGGUGUAGGGGCCACUUCAUCAACUCCCCUGUCCUCUCCUCAGUCCUCAGGCUGAAACUAAAGAGCCAGGGACUUCCAGUUUCAAACAGAUUCUUGCUAAACUGAUCAGGC
Molecule: long non-coding RNA, 482 nt
Filed under: Heterocephalus glaber (naked mole-rat)
Lineage: Eukaryota; Metazoa; Chordata; Mammalia; Rodentia; Bathyergidae
Description: lncRNA (ENSHGLG00000049317.1)
Source: RNAcentral